ACCAUCAACAUUUUAGUGUUUAUACACCAUUGCUGACAGGGUCGGUUUUAAACUAAAUUUGCCUAUGUUGGAUUCCAAUGAAUCCUGGGAAUUGAACAAAUGAAACUAUUUAUCUUCUAAAUAUCCAGUGAGGUAUCAUCAAUUGAUAGAAAAGAAUAAACUGCCUUUCUUGCCUUAAAAGAAUUUGAUUUUACCGUGUGAUUUUGUUCAACUUGUGUGUGAAUAUUAUGUAAAUUAUGAAAUAUGUAGUUGUUUGAAUUUAAAUCAGGUGUUGUUGUGACAUUCCCAGAUUUUUUAAACACAUUUGUUGUUGUAUUUAUUCCGGUAUAUUUGUUAUCAGAGGAGCUCUUCAUACCACAUAUCAGUUGGAUUCUAUAUGUUUAUUUUAAUGUAUGUUUAUGUUUUAUUUAGAUUUUGUAUUAAAGGAGCUGACUUGUUGUGAUGGUACUGCAAAUAAAUCGUUUACAGCA
Molecule: long non-coding RNA, 470 nt
Organism: Haliotis rubra (blacklip abalone)
Lineage: Eukaryota; Metazoa; Mollusca; Gastropoda; Lepetellida; Haliotidae
Exons: 4
Source: RefSeq, a predicted model, not a curated record